This 433-nucleotide ribosomal RNA is filed under the name uncultured bacterium. RNAcentral's name for it is "partial 16S ribosomal RNA". It matches the Rfam family "Bacterial small subunit ribosomal RNA", at positions 29 to 507 of the family's 1533-position model. The record is from RNAcentral.
AACGAACGCUGGCGGCAUGCCUAACACAUGCAAGUCGAACGAGACCUUCGGGUCUAGUGGCGCACGGGUGCGUAACGCGUGGGAACCUGCCCUUAGGUUCGGAAUAACUCCCCGAAAGGGGUGCUAAUACCGGAUAAUGUCUUCGGACCAAAGAUUUAUCGCCUUUGGAUGGGCCCGCGUUGGAUUAGCUAGUUGGUAGGGUAAAAGCCUACCAAGGCGACGAUCCAUAGCUGGUCUGAGAGGAUGACCAGCCACACUGGGACUGAGACACGGCCCAGACUCCUACGGGAGGCAGCAGUGGGGAAUAUUGGACAAUGGGCGAAAGCCUGAUCCAGCAAUGCCGCGUGAGUGAUGAAGGCCUUAGGGUUGUAAAGCUCUUUUACCCGGGAUGAUAAUGACAGUACCGUGAGAAUAAGCUCCGGCUAACUCCGUG